Molecule: ribosomal RNA, 253 nt
Filed under: uncultured bacterium
Lineage: Bacteria
Description: partial 16S ribosomal RNA
Rfam family: Bacterial small subunit ribosomal RNA
Source: RNAcentral
UACGAAGGGUGCAAACGUUGCACGGAAUCAUUGGGCGUAAAGCGCACGUAGGCGGCUUUGCAAGUCGGAUGUGAAAUCCCGUGGCUCAACCAUGGACGUGCAUUCGAAGCUGCGAAGCUUGAGUAUGGAAGAGGGUCGCGGAAUUCCCGGUGUAGAGGUGAAAUUCGUAGAUAUCGGGAGGAACACCAGUGGCGAAGGCGGCGACCAGGGCCAAUACUGACGCUGAGGUGCGAAAGCGUGGGGAGCAAACAGG